UACGUAGGGUGCAAGCGUUGUCCGGAAUUAUUGGGCGUAAAGAGCUCGUAGGCGGUUUGUCGCGUCUGCUGUGAAAACUCGGGGCUUAACUCCGGGCCUGCAGUGGGUACGGGCAGACUAGAGUGCGGUAGGGGAGACUGGAAUUCCUGGUGUAGCGGUGAAAUGCGCAGAUAUCAGGAAGAACACCCGUGGCGAAGGCGGCUCUCUGGAACGCAACUGACGCUGAGACGCGAAAGCGUGGGGAGCAAACAGG
Molecule: ribosomal RNA, 253 nt
Filed under: uncultured bacterium
Lineage: Bacteria
Description: partial 16S ribosomal RNA
Rfam family: Bacterial small subunit ribosomal RNA
Source: RNAcentral